CACGUAGGCGGCACGGUCAGUCUGCUGUGAAAGCCCCGGGCUCAACCUGGGAACUGCAGUGGAUACUGCCGCGCUAGAGUGUGAAAGAGGGGGGUGGAAUUCCAGGUGUAGCGGUGAAAUGCGUAGAGAUCUGGAGGAACACCAGUGGCGAAGGCGGCCCCCUGGUUCAACACUGACGCUGAGGUGCGAAAGCGUGGGGAGCAAACA
RNAcentral lists this ribosomal RNA (207 nucleotides) under uncultured Allochromatium sp. RNAcentral's name for it is "partial 16S ribosomal RNA". It matches the Rfam family "Bacterial small subunit ribosomal RNA", at positions 568 to 774 of the family's 1533-position model. The record is from RNAcentral. Lineage: Bacteria; Pseudomonadati; Pseudomonadota; Gammaproteobacteria; Chromatiales; Chromatiaceae.